UUAUGGCUCAGGAUGAACGCUAGCGGCAGGCUAACACAUGCAAGUCGAGGGGUAACAGGGCGUAGCAAUACGCCGCUGACGACCGGCGCACGGGUGCGUAACGCGUAUACAACCUACCUGUAACAGGGGGGAUAACGGAGUGAAAACUCCACUAAUACCCCAUAUUGACGAGUCUUCGCAUGGGGGUUCGUCGAAAGCUUCGGUGGUUACGGAUGGGUAUGCGUGACAUUAGGUAGUUGGCGGGGCAACGGCCCACCAAGCCGACGAUGUCUAGGGGAGCUGAGAGGCUAGUCCCCCACACUGGUACUGAGACACGGACCAGACUCCUACGGGAGGCAGCAGUGAGGAAUAUUGGUCAAUGGACGGAGGUCUGAACCAGCCAUGCCCGCGUGAGGGAAGAAGGUCCUAUGGGUUGUAAACCUCUUUUGCUCCGGAGCAAUAAGGCGGAUGCGUCCGCCGACGAGAGUACGGGGCGAAUAAGCAUCGGCUAACUCCGUGCCAGCCGCCGC
Molecule: ribosomal RNA, 509 nt
Filed under: uncultured bacterium
Lineage: Bacteria
Description: bacterial SSU rRNA
Rfam family: Bacterial small subunit ribosomal RNA
Source: RNAcentral